Molecule: ribosomal RNA, 671 nt
Filed under: uncultured beta proteobacterium
Lineage: Bacteria; Pseudomonadati; Pseudomonadota; Betaproteobacteria
Description: bacterial SSU rRNA
Rfam family: Bacterial small subunit ribosomal RNA
Source: RNAcentral
AGAUACCCUGGUAGUCCACGCCCUAAACGAUGUCAACUGGUUGUUGGGGGAGUGAAAUCCCUUAGUAACGAAGCUAACGCGUGAAGUUGACCGCCUGGGGAGUACGGUCGCAAGAUUAAAACUCAAAGGAAUUGACGGGGACCCGCACAAGCGGUGGAUGAUGUGGAUUAAUUCGAUGCAACGCGAAAAACCUUACCUACCCUUGACAUGUCCAGAAUCCUGCAGAGAUGUGGGAGUGCCCGAAAGGGAAUUGGAACACAGGUGCUGCAUGGCUGUCGUCAGCUCGUGUCGUGAGAUGUUGGGUUAAGUCCCGCAACGAGCGCAACCCUUAUCAUUAGUUGCUACGCAAGGGCACUCUAAUGAGACUGCCGGUGACAAACCGGAGGAAGGUGGGGAUGACGUCAAGUCCUCAUGGCCCUUAUGGGUAGGGCUUCACACGUCAUACAAUGGUCGGUACAGAGGGUUGCCAAGCCGCGAGGUGGAGCCAAUCCCAGAAAGCCGAUCGAAGUCCGGAUUGUUCUCUGCAACUCGAGAGCAUGAAGUCGGAAUCGCUAGUAAUCGCGGAUCAGCAUGUCGCGGUGAAUACGUUCCCGGGUCUUGUACACACCGCCCGUCACACCAUGGGAGUGGAAUCUGGCAGAAGUAGGUAGCCUAACCGCAAGGGGGGCGCU